This 76-nucleotide transfer RNA is filed under the name Inia geoffrensis (Amazon river dolphin). RNAcentral describes it as "transfer RNA-Gln". It matches the Rfam family "tRNA". Rfam says of the family: Transfer RNA (tRNA) molecules are approximately 80 nucleotides in length. Their secondary structure includes four short double-helical elements and three loops (D, anti-codon, and T loops). The record is from RNAcentral. Lineage: Eukaryota; Metazoa; Chordata; Mammalia; Artiodactyla; Iniidae.
CUGUAGAUUAUGGUGUAAUAUGGUAGCACGGAGAACUUUGAAUUCUUAGGGGUAGGUUCGAUUCCUAUUAUUCUAG